GAUCAACGCUGGCGGCGUGCAUGAGACAUGCAAGUCGAACGAAGGAUCGGGCUUGCUCGAUCCUUAGUGGCGGACGGCUGAGUAACGCGUAGGUGACCUACCCUGAAGUGGGGAAUAACUGCCCGAAAGGGUGGCUAAUACCGCAUGUGGUCGCACGUUCAUUCGUGCGAGUAAAGCCGCAAGGCGCUUCGGGAGGGGCCUGCGUCCGAUUAGCUCGUUGGUGGGGUAAUGGCUUACCAAGGCGACGAUCGGUAGGUGGUCUGAGAGGACGAUCACCCAGACUGGGACUGAGACACGGCCCAGACUCCUACGGGAGGCAGCAGUCGGGAAUUUUGCGCAAUGGGGGAAACCCUGAAGCAGCAACGCCGCGUGAGGGAUGAAGGCCUUCGGGUUGUAAACCUCUUUUGUCAGGGACGAUGAUGACGGUACCUGGCGAAUAAGCCACGGCUAACUACGUG
Molecule: ribosomal RNA, 458 nt
Filed under: uncultured bacterium
Lineage: Bacteria
Description: partial 16S ribosomal RNA
Rfam family: Bacterial small subunit ribosomal RNA
Source: RNAcentral